GACGAACGCUGGCGGCGUGCCUAAUACAUGCAAGUUGAGCGCUGAAGGUUGGUACUUGUACCAACUGGAUGAGCCGCGAACGGGUGAGUAACGCGUGGGGAAUCUGCCUUUCAGCGGGGGACAACCUUUGGAAACGAAUGCUAAUACCGCAUAAAAACUUUAAACACAAGUUUUAAGUUUGAAAGAUGCAAUUGCAUCACUCAAACAUGAUCCCUCGUUGUAUUAGCUAGUUGGUGAGGUAAAGGCUCACCAAGGCGAUGAUACAUAGCCCACCUGAGAGGGUGAUCGGCCACAUUGGGACUGAGACACGGCACAAACUCCCACGGGAGGCAGCAGUAGGGAAUCUUCGGCAAUGGACGAAAGUCUGACCGAGCAACGCCGCGUGAGUGAAGAAGGUUUUCGGAUCGUAAAACUCUGUUGGUAGAGAAGAACGUUGGUGAGAGUGGAAAGCUCAUCAAGUGACGGUAACUAGCCAGAAAGGGACGGCUAACUACGUG
This 497-nucleotide ribosomal RNA is filed under the name uncultured bacterium. RNAcentral describes it as "partial 16S ribosomal RNA". It matches the Rfam family "Bacterial small subunit ribosomal RNA", at positions 28 to 507 of the family's 1533-position model. The record is from RNAcentral.